GUUUUGUUUUUUUUCUCCCCAAUUAUUUUGUUUUGGUUUUUUGAAGCAGGUGUUUAAGGUUUAACCUUCUUCAGGGACAAAUUCUGACUGUUGGGGAAUCUUACUCUGCAAUAGAAAAUAUCUUCGUGUUCUGGUAGGGCCUGGAUGGUGGAGCUCUGUACUGCCUUGUCUGCACUUCAGCCCCCGACCCCCUGAUUCUCUGUUGAAAAGUGUGUCCUUUCUCUUUGUCUGUACAUGUUUACCAUGACGCAAUAAUUUGAGGGCAAACUUAGUAGUGAGUGUGUAUGAUAGAAUCGAGAAUUUCUAGGACGCUGACUUGAGAAAACCAUUACCAGGAUUUGGUUCUAGAAAGAAGGCAGUGAAUAAUUAUGCAAAUUCGCCAGAAGGGGAAGCACGCUAAUGGGCCUUAUUGGAUGAGGGUGUGAGUUAGGGUACGCGUGAAGGAGAAAGUGACAUGGGUGUUGGAAGGACCAGCCCCAGACGGUUUUCCUGUGAUGCCAUCUCACAGUGGGAAGGAGGGGCCGGCCACCUGUACCGUGCACACCAACCAGCCUGGAAUGAAGCCCGCCUAGAUUGUGAGGGCUGAAUUUAGACAACCGGAUGAUGUCACGCAGACCAGAAACUCCUGUUAUCUUUGCCUAAAAGAAAUUACCUUGGGAGAUGCAACGAGAAAUCUCUGAAAUCUUCCACCCACGUGGAGGGGAAUUUCAAAACAUAAACAGGAACACCCACUAUCGUGGCUCAGGGGGAGGGAGGGAGGGCCCGGGGAGACGGUGAUCUUUAAAAAUGGGACCGUCGUGGGCCACUGCAGAGCCCAUCGGCCAGCAGCAGGCGCAGUCAGGAGCUCCAUCAGCCAGGACAGAGGGAAGCAUCUGGCGCGUACCCCGCGACUUGCUUCCUCUGGGUUGCCGAAAAGAGAACCUGGGGAAAGAAAAGUCUACAUCCCUGUGACAGGUCGAGUUCAGUGCCUGAACCGGAAUACUUCCAGCAUAUUUGUUCCGGGUGUAGAUGGGGGAGAGGAUGUGUUAUUCCCUCCAUCUCCCCAAAUAUCUGAUGCCCCAAAAGCCGUGUUAGCCGUGGAGCCUGAGCGACACUUGGAUUCGUGUUGUCACCUGACCGAACCCAGGAGACACUUGAUCGGGUUUCAGCUCGGCUGCAAGGAAGCUUGGGAUUUCAUUACUGCAACUUCCCUCAGCCGAGAGUUCUUGGUAAGCGUUUUCCCCUUUCCCUUUUCUGCAUUUUGUUCUUUUCUUUUGCUUCAUGAAUCUUUGUUGCUUUUGUGUGACCAUAGUUACCUCAAAUGUCUUUUGGAAGAAAGCAGGAUAGGAAACAACAAAAUUGAAGAAAAGAUAAAAUAUGCAAAGCAAUGAAGUUUUGGGACAUGGGAGAGAGGAGUGAUUUUACCAGCAGCCUAGUCUUAAAAAAACAAAAAUAAAGGGGCGCCUGGGUGGCUCA
RNAcentral lists this long non-coding RNA (1455 nucleotides) under Felis catus (domestic cat). RNAcentral's name for it is "lncRNA (ENSFCAG00000049740.1)". Lineage: Eukaryota; Metazoa; Chordata; Mammalia; Carnivora; Felidae. The record is from RNAcentral.